UGGUUGUUUCUACGUGCAUGUACUAGUUCACGUAAAAAUCAAUCCACCUGCCUGCUUGUGUACAGGGGCGUUUCCAACAAUCGAUCCAGUUUGCUCAGCUUCUUACGUACGUGUCUUCCGGUCAAAUAAUCCAUCUGCACGUGAGCACAUCAUCGAUUUCUUCAGAAAGUACACGGCGAGUCGAGGGGGCGGCCAGCGGCAGCAGAGAUGGUCGGGGAACUGGGUCGACCCAU
Molecule: ribosomal RNA, 233 nt
Filed under: Triticum aestivum (bread wheat)
Lineage: Eukaryota; Viridiplantae; Streptophyta; Magnoliopsida; Poales; Poaceae
Description: partial small subunit ribosomal RNA
Source: RNAcentral